This 447-nucleotide small RNA is filed under the name Histoplasma capsulatum. Its description in RNAcentral is "hypothetical RNA". The record is from RNAcentral. RNAcentral also lists the same sequence under 1 other name. Lineage: Eukaryota; Fungi; Ascomycota; Eurotiomycetes; Onygenales; Ajellomycetaceae.
GGCAGUGGAAAAUGGUUUGGAGGAUGUUUGGAUGGGGGUGGUCAUUAAGGAGAUCAUAGAUACACUUCUCACGCGUGAUGGAGGCGACAGAUUCUGCGGACUGCUCGAUCUGCUCUUCGGUACGGGGGAUGUUUGCUUUGUAGAUGAUGGGCGCCUUCAAUGCAAUGCGUUCUCCAAUAGCAAAUACAAUGCUCACAGACCCUGAGCCAAGAAUGUCGGCUCUGGUGAGCCUGAAGGGAAGUUUGUGACCAUUUAACACCAUUGUGCGUGGUAACUGGUGAUGGAAUUUUAUGAGGAUGAUAUGAUGAGCUUGGGAGCGAGAUGUAUAUCAAUUUGGAGAAUAGUCAAAUUCAAGAGAAGCUAUCAAUAUUGACCUCAAAGAGAUGCAGAUAGAGUGAAAUGUAAACUUGGUGUUCUGUGUUUCAUGAGAAAAUGAAUAUUAAGGGA